UGCAGGGUGGAGCAGUUUGGUAGCUCGUCAGGCUCAUAACCUGAAGGUCGCAGGUUCAAAUCCUGCCCCUGCACCCA
RNAcentral lists this transfer RNA (77 nucleotides) under Opitutales bacterium. RNAcentral describes it as "tRNA-Met". It matches the Rfam family "tRNA". From Rfam's summary of the family: Transfer RNA (tRNA) molecules are approximately 80 nucleotides in length. Lineage: Bacteria; Pseudomonadati; Verrucomicrobiota; Opitutia; Opitutales. RNAcentral also lists the same sequence under 1 other name. The record is from RNAcentral.